This 477-nucleotide ribosomal RNA is filed under the name uncultured organism. Its description in RNAcentral is "partial 16S ribosomal RNA". It matches the Rfam family "Bacterial small subunit ribosomal RNA", at positions 333 to 801 of the family's 1533-position model. The record is from RNAcentral.
ACACUCCUGCGGGAGGCAGCAGUGGGGAAUAUUGCACAAUGGGCGCAAGCCUGAUGCAGCCAUGCCGCGUGUAUGAAGAAGGCCUUCGGGUUGUAAAGUACUUUCAGCGGGGAGGAAGGCGAUAAGGUUAAUAACCUUGUUGAUUGACGUUACCCGCAGAAGAAGCACCGGCUAACUCCGUGCCAGCAGCCGCGGUAAUACGGAGGGUGCAAGCGUUAAUCGGAAUUACUGGGCGUAAAGCGCACGCAGGCGGUCUGUCAAGUCGGAUGUGAAAUCCCCGGGCUCAACCUGGGAACUGCAUUCGAAACUGGCAGGCUAGAGUCUUGUAGAUGGGGGUAGAAUUCCAGGUGUAGCGGUGAAAUGCGUAGAGAUCUGGAGGAAUACCGGUGGCGAAGGCGGCCCCCUGGACAAAGACUGACGCUCAGGUGCGAAAGCGUGGGGAGCAAACAGGAGUAGAAACCCGAGUAGUCCCAUGAU